GUGCUACUGAAGAGUCCCAGAACUAGGACGAAACAGCUGUCCAGUAC
Trichobilharzia regenti is the source of this 47-nucleotide non-coding RNA. Lineage: Eukaryota; Metazoa; Platyhelminthes; Trematoda; Strigeidida; Schistosomatidae. The record is from Rfam.